GAUGAACGCUGGCGGCGUGCCUAAUACAUGCAAGUCGAGCGAACAGACGAGGAGCUUGCUCCUCUGAUGUUAGCGGCGGACGGGUGAGUAACACGUGGAUAACCUACCUAUAAGACUGGGAUAACUUCAGGAAACCGGAGCUAAUACCGGAUAACGUGUUGAACCGCAUGGUUCAACAGUGAAAGACGGUCUUGCUGUCACUUAUAGAUGGAUCCGCGCCGCAUUAGCUAGUUGGUAAGGUAACGGCUUACCAAGGCAACGAUGCGUAGCCGACCUGAGAGGGUGAUCGGCCACACUGGAACUGAGACACGGUCCAGACUCCUACGGGAGGCAGCAGUAGGGAAUCUUCCGCAAUGGGCGAAAGCCUGACGGAGCAACGCCGCGUGAGUGAAGAAGGUCUUCGGAUCGUAAAACUCUGUUAUUAGGGAAGAACAAAUGUGUAAGUAACUAUGCACGUCUUGACGGUACCUAAUCAGAAAGCCACGGCUAACUACGUG
This 497-nucleotide ribosomal RNA is filed under the name uncultured bacterium. Its description in RNAcentral is "partial 16S ribosomal RNA". It matches the Rfam family "Bacterial small subunit ribosomal RNA", at positions 28 to 507 of the family's 1533-position model. The record is from RNAcentral.